GAUCCUGGCUCAGGAUGAACGCUGGCGGCGUGCUUAACACAUGCAAGUCGAGCGAAGCGCUUAAGUCUGAUUCUUCGGAUGAAGACUUUUGUGACUGAGCGGCGGACGGGUGAGUAACGCGUGGGUAACCUGCCUCAUACAGGGGGAUAACAGUUAGAAAUGACUGCUAAUACCGCAUAAGACCACGGUACCGCAUGGUACAGUGGUAAAAAACUCCGGUGGUAUGAGAUGGACCCGCGU
This 240-nucleotide ribosomal RNA is filed under the name uncultured bacterium. RNAcentral describes it as "partial 16S ribosomal RNA". It matches the Rfam family "Bacterial small subunit ribosomal RNA", at positions 15 to 236 of the family's 1533-position model. The record is from RNAcentral.